UACGGAAGGGGCAAGCGUUGUUCGGAAUCAUUGGGCGUAAAGAGCUCGUAGGCGGUCUGUCACGUCGGCUGUGAAAACCCGGGGCUCAACCCCGGGCCUGCAGUCGAUACGGGCAAACUAGAGUUCGGCAGGGGAGACUGGAAUUCCUGGUGUAGCGGUGAAAUGCGCAGAUAUCAGGAGGAACACCGGUGGCGAAGGCGGGUCUCUGGGCCGAUACUGACGCUGAGGAGCGAAAGCGUGGGGAGCGAACAGG
This 253-nucleotide ribosomal RNA is filed under the name uncultured bacterium. RNAcentral describes it as "partial 16S ribosomal RNA". It matches the Rfam family "Bacterial small subunit ribosomal RNA", at positions 524 to 776 of the family's 1533-position model. The record is from RNAcentral.